RNAcentral lists this ribosomal RNA (406 nucleotides) under uncultured bacterium. RNAcentral describes it as "partial 16S ribosomal RNA". It matches the Rfam family "Bacterial small subunit ribosomal RNA", at positions 30 to 526 of the family's 1533-position model. The record is from RNAcentral.
AUUGAACGCUGGCGGCAGGCCUAACACAUGCAAGUCGAACGAGUGGCGGACGGGUGAGUAAUGUCUGGGAAACUGCCUGAUGGAGGGGGAUAACUACUGGAAACGGUAGCUAAUAACGCAUACCAUCAGAUGUGCCCAGAUGGGAUUAGCUAGUUGGUGGGGUAACGGAGCACCAAGGCGACGAUCCCUCGCUGGUAUGAGAGGAUGACCAGCCAACCUGGAACUGAGACACGGUCCAGACUCCUCAGGUGGGCAGCAGUGGGGAAUAUUGCACAUGGGGCGCAAGCCUGAUGCAGCCAUGCCGCGUGUAUGAAGAAGGCCUUCGGGUUGUAAAGUACUUUCAGCGGGGAGGCGUUACCCGCAGAAGAAGCACCGGCUAACUCCGUGCCAGCAGCCGCGGUAAUUC